Molecule: ribosomal RNA, 251 nt
Filed under: uncultured prokaryote
Description: partial 16S rRNA
Rfam family: Bacterial small subunit ribosomal RNA
Source: RNAcentral
ACGUAGGGGGCAAGCGUUGUCCGGAUUUACUGGGUGUAAAGGGCGCGUAGGCGGAUUUGUAAGUCAGUGGUGAAAGCCUGUAGCUUAACUACAGAACUGCCUCUGAUACUGCAUAUCUUGAGUUCGGAAGAGAGAAGCGGAAUUCCAGGUGUAGUAGUGAAAUACGUAGAUAUCUGGAAGAACACCAGUGGCGAAGGCGGCUUCUUGGUCCGUAACUGACGCUGAGGCGCGAAAGCGUGGGGAGCAAACAG